This 747-nucleotide ribosomal RNA is filed under the name Triticum aestivum (bread wheat). RNAcentral's name for it is "partial small subunit ribosomal RNA". Lineage: Eukaryota; Viridiplantae; Streptophyta; Magnoliopsida; Poales; Poaceae. The record is from RNAcentral.
AUGCAGGAACUGCAACAACGACAUGUGAGCGAUUACGUAGUCUGCCCGAUGUGCGGACAUGGAGAUGAAAGUCUCUUUCACUGCUUGUUAACAUGUGAUCACGCCAAGUUAUUUUGGGUGGAAGCAGAAACAAUAUUUGGUAUAAAGAAGCCUCAUCUCCAUCCAAACACUUGGGCCACUGAUUUUCUUGAUGCUAGUUUGGUGCCAAAGAGGGAUGCAACUAUUGGCAUUACGGUGAUGUGGGCUAUUUGGAGCAAUCGGAACAGGUUCACUCACCCUGAAGAAAAAUACCAACCGAAGCGGUCUAUGGAGAUUAUUUCAGAAAUUGUGGGGACGUUGGAGCGUCCCACUACGUCACAUAGACCUGUUGUCAAUGGACAGCAGCGAUGGGAGGCGCCGAUGGUUGGGGUUGUCAAGAUGAAUGUAGAUGGCGCAGUUGACACGGCUAGUGCAAAAGGCGGCACCGGCGUAGUUUUCCGAAACAUCGACGGUGGGCUACUAGUGUCGCGGUGCACUAGCUACCAAGGGGUGGUUGAUCCCAUAACGUUGGAAAUAUUGGCUUGCAGAGAUGCUAUCUUGCUUGCCAGGGAGAAGAACUAUCAGCAUUUGAUAGUGGAGACAUAUUGCCUCAAUGUUGUUCAGCUAUGGAAAGGUAGACUGAAAGGCAAAUCGAAGGGGUUCUGUAUCUUCCAAGAGUUGCAGGAGGAGCUGCCAUUUUUUUCAAGGAUUUCAGCUUUGUUACGCUAG